This 468-nucleotide ribosomal RNA is filed under the name uncultured Microgenomates group bacterium. Its description in RNAcentral is "bacterial SSU rRNA". It matches the Rfam family "Bacterial small subunit ribosomal RNA", at positions 10 to 495 of the family's 1533-position model. The record is from RNAcentral.
UGUUUGAUUCUGGCUCAGGGCGAACGCUGGCGGCGUGCCUUAGACAUGCAAGUCGAGCGGUAGGCGUCCUUCGGGGCGCCGGGAGCGGCGAACGGCGGAGUAACACGUGGGUAACCUGCCCCGAAGACUGGGACAACUCGGGGAAACUCGGGCUAAUACCGGAUGUGGAUGCGCGGGCUUCGGCUUGGGCAUCUAAACGGGUUUCCGCUUCGGGAUGGGCCCGCGGCCUAUCAGGUUGUUGGUGAGGUAACGGCUCACCAAGCCGACGACGGGUAGCCGGUCUGAGAGGAUGAUCGGCCCGAGGGGCACUGAGACACGGGCCCCACUCCUACGGGAGGCAGCAGUCGGGAAUUUUGGGCAAUGGGCGCAAGCCUGACCCAGCGACGCCGCGUGGAGGACGAAGCCCUUCGGGGUGUAAACUCCUUUUAGUGGGGACGAACGCAGACGGUACCCACAGAAAAAGCCCCG